This 254-nucleotide ribosomal RNA is filed under the name uncultured bacterium. RNAcentral describes it as "partial 16S ribosomal RNA". It matches the Rfam family "Bacterial small subunit ribosomal RNA", at positions 526 to 779 of the family's 1533-position model. The record is from RNAcentral.
CGGAGGGUGCAAGCGUUGUCCGGAUUUAUUGGGUUUAAAGGGUGCGCAGGUGGUUCUGUAAGUCUGAUUUGAAAGCCGGCGGCUUAACCGUCGGAUGUGGUUGGAAACUGUGGAACUUGAAUGGCGUAGCGGGAGCCGGAAUGGGUCAUGUAGCGGUGAAAUGCAUAGAUAUGACCCGGAACACCGAUUGCGAAGGCAGGCUCCUGGGCGUCGAUUGACACUGAGGCACGAAAGCAUGGGUAGCGAACAGGAUU